UGCGAGUCUUUGUAGUAAUACAAGGCAGACGGCUCAGUAACACGUAGUCAACCUACCCUAUGGACAAGAAUAAUCUCGGGAAACUGGGCAUAAUUCUUGAUAGAUCAUAAUGCCUGGAAUGGUUUAUGGUUAAAAUGAUUCGUCGCCAUAGGAUGGGACUGCGGCCUAUCAGCUUGUUGGUGAGGUAAUGGCCCACCAAGGCGAUUACAGGUACGGGCUCUGAGAGGAGAAGCCCGGAGAUGGGUACUGAGACACGGACCCAGGCCCUAUGGGGCGCAGCAGGCGAGAAAACUUUGCAAUGUGCGAAAGCACGACAAGGUUAAUCCGAGUGAUUUCUGCUAAAGAAAUCUUUUGCCAGUCAUAAAACCACUGGUGAAUAAGGGGUGGGCAAGUUCUGGUGUCAGCCGCCGCGGUAAAACCAGCACCUCAAGUGGUCAGGAUGAUUAUUGGGCCUAAAGCAUCCGUAGCCGGCUUUGUUAGUUUUCGGUUAAAUCCAUGUGCUCAACGCAUGGGCUGCCGAAAAUACUGCAUAGCUAGGGAGUGGGAGAGGUAGACGGUACUCAGUAGGAAGGGGUAAAAUCCUUUGAUCUAUUGAUGACCACCUGUGGCGAAGGCGGUCUACCAGAACACGUUCGACGGUGAGGGAUGAAAGCUGGGGGAGCAAACCGGAUUAGAUACCCGGGUAGUCCCAGCUGUAAACGAUGCAGACUCGAUGAUGCGUUGGCAUAAUAGCCAGUGCAGUGUCGCAGGGAGGCCGUUAAGUCUGCCGCCUG
RNAcentral lists this ribosomal RNA (773 nucleotides) under uncultured archaeon. RNAcentral describes it as "bacterial SSU rRNA". It matches the Rfam family "Archaeal small subunit ribosomal RNA", at positions 52 to 830 of the family's 1478-position model. The record is from RNAcentral.